Molecule: ribosomal RNA, 381 nt
Filed under: uncultured eukaryote
Lineage: Eukaryota
Description: partial 18S ribosomal RNA
Rfam family: Eukaryotic small subunit ribosomal RNA
Source: RNAcentral
CAAUAGCGUAUAUUAAAGUUGUUGCGGUAAAAAAGCUCGUAGUUGGAUUUCUACCGAAGAUAGCCGGUCGGGUCUUCGACCUUGUAUCUGGUUUUGUCUUUGGUAUCCUCAUAGGGAACGUUUCUGCGCUUUAUUGCGUGGUGCGGUAUCUAUGACUUUUACUUUGAGGAAAUUAGAGUGUUCACGGCAGGCAAACGCCUUGAAUAUAUUAGCAUGGAGUAAUAACAUAGGAUCUUCGUCCUAUUUUGUUGGUUUCUAGGGCUAAGAUAAUGAUUAAUAGGGAUAAUUGGGGGCAUCUGUAUCAACGCGUCAGAGGUGGAAUUCUUGGAUUGCGUUGCGACAAACUACUGCGAAAGCAUUUGCCAAGGAUGUUUUCAUUGA